GACCAUUUCCAUAAGGAUAAGAUGGCAGAGAGACAAUGACACUAUGUUCUAAGUUGAAACUAGCUUAGAACUAGUGCAAUUGCCUGUGUUUUAGUUGUUUUUUUUUGUCUCAUGUUUGUGCCUCUUGAUAAAUUUUCAUUCUGUCCUCUUCUUCCCCUCUCACUAAGACAAUCUUCCUCUUGCCAUUUGAUUUCUUCUCUUCCCGAACAGGAAAUGAUGUUGUGUCCCUAAUAUGUUUUGUCCCUUUGAUGCCAUCUUUUCUUGUCUUUGGCAUGUAAUAGGAUCUGGGCGAAUAGGCAAUCUGCUGCUAGGUCAAAGGAAAGGAAGAUGAGAUAUAUAGCCGAGCUUGAGCGGAAAGUACAGACACUUCAAACAGAAGCAACAUCACUCUUUACCCAGCUUACUCUAGUACAGAGAGACACCAAUGGUUUGACUGCUGAAAAUAGUGAGUUGAAACUGCGCUUGCAAGCAAUGGAGCAACAAGUUCACUUGCAAGACGGUUCAUACAGACAUAUGGAACACACAUAAUAGUCGGCAUGGCUAUCGGUGGUCAAGAUUUAAUGUGUCAGGCAAAAUUCUUCCUCUACAAUUCCUACAUCCGAGCUUAGAGGGUAUUUGGAGGACCUCGAAGAUGUUAUGUUUUCAGAUGGGAAAAGCCCUUCAUUAAUACAGAGAAAGUCAAGAGAUGGCGAACAAAAAGUAUAAGCACCUCAUUUAUAUUUAAGGGCCCUUUCUUCUUUUGUUCGGUAAACACUGAUAUUUUUACUAAAUGCUGUAUAUUUAUGUAGGUGCCCGACAUCUUUAACCGUAUUUUGCAGUCAAGCGCCAUGCAGUUGGCCAGCAUUGCAGAAACAUUGAGCGUUCGGCACAUUGAGGGAAGAAGCAGAUGAGUUGUGCCGAACGCUGGAGGAGAAAGAGGACAGUUCAUGUACUGCCUCAAAUUAGUUUUCUUGUAUCACAAUAUAAUGAAGCUUGCUAAACAAGUUAUGCGUGCAAAUUAGUUGGAGAGGUUUUUUGUUAGGUCAUGUAAGACUUUUGUUGGUUAAACUAUUAGAAAUUCAAGAGCAAAUUGGGUCCUCUAAUAUAAA
Gossypium raimondii (Peruvian cotton) is the source of this 1088-nucleotide long non-coding RNA. RefSeq lists it as uncharacterized. The record is from RefSeq and is a predicted model, not a curated record. The transcript is spliced from 4 exons. Lineage: Eukaryota; Viridiplantae; Streptophyta; Magnoliopsida; Malvales; Malvaceae.